UACGGGGGGAGCAAGCGUUGUUCGGAUUUACUGGGCGUAAAGGGCGGGUAGGCGGCCACCGCAAGUCAGUUGUGAAAUCUCCGGGCUUAACCCGGAAAGGUCAACUGAUACUGCGGGGCUAGAGUGCAGAAGGGGCAACUGGAAUUCUCGGUGUAGCGGUGAAAUGCGUAGAUAUCGAGAGGAACACCUGCGGCGAAGGCGGGUUGCUGGGCUGACACUGGCGCUGAACUGCGAAAGCUAGGGGAGCGAACGGG
RNAcentral lists this ribosomal RNA (254 nucleotides) under uncultured bacterium. Its description in RNAcentral is "partial 16S ribosomal RNA". It matches the Rfam family "Bacterial small subunit ribosomal RNA", at positions 524 to 776 of the family's 1533-position model. The record is from RNAcentral.